RNAcentral lists this ribosomal RNA (737 nucleotides) under uncultured bacterium. Its description in RNAcentral is "bacterial SSU rRNA". It matches the Rfam family "Bacterial small subunit ribosomal RNA", at positions 28 to 762 of the family's 1533-position model. The record is from RNAcentral.
AUUGAACGCUGGCGGCAUGCCUUACACAUGCAAGUCGAACGGCAGCGCGGGGCAACCUGGCGGCGAGUGGCGAACGGGUGAGUAAUAUAUCGGAACGUACCCUGGAGUGGGGGAUAACGUAGCGAAAGUUACGCUAAUACCGCAUACGAUCUAAGGAUGAAAGUGGGGGCAUCGCAAGACCUCAUGCUCCUGGAGCGGCCGAUAUCUGAUUAGCUAGUUGGUGGGGUAAAGGCCUACCAAGGCAUCGAUCAGUAGCUGGUCUGAGAGGACGACCAGCCACACUGGAACUGAGACACGGUCCAGACUCCUACGGGAGGCAGCAGUGGGGAAUUUUGGACAAUGGGCGCAAGCCUGAUCCAGCAAUGCCGCGUGAGUGAAGAAGGCCUCGGGUUGUAAAGCUCUUUUGUCAGGGAAAGAAACGGUGAGGGCUAAUAUCCUUUGCUAAUGACGGUACCUGAAGAAUAAGCACCGGCUAACUACGUGCCAGCAGCCGCGGUAAUACGUAGGGUGCAAGCGUUAAUCGGAAUUACUGGGCGUAAAGCGUGCGCAGGCGGUUUUGUAAGUCUGUCGUGAAAUCCCCGGGCUCAACCUGGGAAUUGCGAUGGAGACUGCAAGGCUAGAAUCUGGCAGAGGGGGGUAGAAUUCCACGUGUAGCAGUGAAAUGCGUAGAGAUGUGGAGGAACACCGAUGGCGAAGGCAGCCCCUGGGUCAAGAUUGACGCUCAUGCACGAAAGCGU